Molecule: long non-coding RNA, 1474 nt
Organism: Vigna unguiculata (cowpea)
Lineage: Eukaryota; Viridiplantae; Streptophyta; Magnoliopsida; Fabales; Fabaceae
Source: RefSeq, a predicted model, not a curated record
UACUCCUUGGAGUAGAUCAAAGUUCCAUGUUAGGCACCUUUAUGCCAAUUUCAGGAAAAAAAUUCCCAAGUAAAAAUUUAAAGAAAUUGAUGUGGAGGGUAGCUGGUUGCACACAUUCAGAAGGUUGGGAGCAAGAAAUCAGGAACAUCAAAGAUGUGAACGAAGAUGCCUUCAAAUACUUGCUGGCAAUUCCACCAAGGUUUUGGCCACGCUCUAGAUUCAUAACCACUGCCCAAUGUGAUACAUUGGUUAACAACAUUUUUGAAGCAUUUAACAGUGUCCUAGUGGAAUCUAGGGGCAGGCCAAUAAUCACAACGUUGGAGGAAAUAAGGUUAUACAUGAUGCACAGAUGGGCUAAAAACAGAAAGAAAGUUGCAUCAUAUGAAAGGAACAUCUGUCCCAAAAUCCUGACAAGAUAUCACUAGGAAACACAAUUGACAAGGCAUUGGAUUCCUAAUUGGUCAGCAGAUAAAAUUUUUGAAGUGAGGCAUGCAUCACAUGUUGGGGACAAGUUUGUGGUGAAUAUUGAUGAAACAUCAUGCACAUGCAGGAAGUGGAGCAUCACUGGGAUACCAUGCUAUCAUGCCCUAGAAGCCAUGAGGUUUCUAAACAAUAAAUGGAGAAGAUUUCAUCUCCAGUUGGUACAAGAAGUCCACGUAUGAAAAAACAUAUGCAUCCAUCAUAUACCCAAUCAAUGGCCAAAAGGUGUGGGAGGUUACACCCUAUCCAGAUAUUUUGCCUCCUCCGAAAAGAGCAUUGCUAGGUAGACCAAAAAAGAAGAGGAGAUUGCAAGAAUGGGAGCUAAGAAAAGAUGAGACACAAAUGAGCAAAGUAGGGUUAUGCAAGAGGUGUCGUAUAUGUAGGGAACUUGGCCAUAACAGGAGACAUUGCCCCCACGCACCAUCACAACAACCAACCCCUACACCUCAACCUUCUACUCAGUCAUCUCAGCCACCAUUACAACAACCAACCCCUAGACCUCAGGUUUCUACUCAGUCAUCCCAGCCACCAUCAUAACAAUCAACCCCUGCACCACAGGCUUGUACUCAGUCAUCCCAGGCACCAUCAUAGCCACAUUCACAAGUUGCACAACCUUCUACUCCAGCAUCACAGCCACAUUCUAAACCAUCACACCAAGGCAUAGCUUAUGGUGCUUCUACUCAAUCAAGUGUGCAAAUUGCUGUAGCACCAAGGGCUUUUGCUCAACAUUCUCAACAAGGAACACGUGGGCAUGGAAGAGUAAUGAUGAGGCCAAAACUAAAUGCAAGAAGGGGACGCAUAUGGAAACUAUGACUGCAUGUGCUUUCCUUAUGAUAAACUUUUGUAGCUUUGGUUUGUAAUUAGCUUUUUGAAAGACAAUUUAGGUACUAUUGGAUUAAUAUAUUUUGUCAUUAUGUGUAAUUGGUUAUUGGGGGACCACUUUUUUGUGCAUUUCAGUUCUGUAGUAGUGGUCCACUUCCUUCACACAUGUUAA